RNAcentral lists this small RNA (109 nucleotides) under Serratia marcescens. RNAcentral describes it as "RtT sRNA". It matches the Rfam family "RtT RNA". From Rfam's summary of the family: This family represents a bacterial cis-regulatory element known as RtT RNA. The exact function of RtT is unknown although it is thought that it may be involved in changing the cellular response in relation to amino acid starvation. RNAcentral also lists the same sequence under 1 other name. The record is from RNAcentral. Lineage: Bacteria; Pseudomonadati; Pseudomonadota; Gammaproteobacteria; Enterobacterales; Yersiniaceae.
AUAACGCACCGACCGGGAGGGUGAGAACCCUCGACAGGGUUCGACAAAACGCUUGGCCAACGGCGGCCCGCAGGGUGAGCGCAGCGAAUCUAUCCCUCCCUCACCGCCA